Molecule: long non-coding RNA, 1490 nt
Organism: Nymphaea colorata (pocket water lily)
Lineage: Eukaryota; Viridiplantae; Streptophyta; Magnoliopsida; Nymphaeales; Nymphaeaceae
Exons: 4
Source: RefSeq, a predicted model, not a curated record
GUAAGACUGCGAUUUUUUUUCAGACAAAAAUUGGUGAGUACUAUAAAAAAAUGGGUCUCUAAUUGGCUUUGGGUAGAAGCUGUCGUCAACUGGGUAAUGAAGUUUCACCAUAGAAGAAAUAUAUCCAAGGUAAGAUCUCGGUGAAGUUUCCUUUUAGUUUUUAUCCUUCUGUUUAUUUUUGCCUUUCCAAUCAAAAGUGGAUACCUCGUGGGGACGAUUCUGAUCGCCAUUUUGGAUGGACGACUAAUCAAACGAUCAGCGUGGAUCUAUCAUGACGGGAGGAUCGUCGACGCUGAAAUAUACGGUGAUUUGAUUGGACGGCAAACUAGAAGAAUCAUUGUUCAUUAGCCAUAUGGGUUCGCAUUGUGAACUUAUAUCAGGAAAUUGUGUUUUUGGGGUUGAUAAUUCUUCUCAGUGGUAGUUCCUCUUAAGAAUCAUCAAAUUGGGACAUCACUGCUAAUUGCCGACUUUAGGGAAUACUGCGCCUCCCAUCGGAUUCUUGAUUUCUGACUAGUGACUGGGGAUUGAUGUGUUAAUGGAAUUAGAAUUUUGGAGCUUGGGAAUUUCAUUGAUCCAACUAUAUGGGAAUACCACAUGUGAGUGCAUUGUCGAAGAUUGCAGAUUUUUCCUUCAAGCUUGCGAAACCACAUCUUGGAAGCACGCAAUCUCAAAUAAUUAAAUGAUCGGUGGUACUUCGGUUCAUCGUUCAGAUGUCUACAGUUUGUGCAAUAUUGGAGAACAGAGACGUGAUUAUUGACAUUUAAUUGGUUUGCUCUUGUUUGAUGCUACAUCUAUUAUUCAAUUGCAGUUUGCAGAACUCCAGCUUUACAAUUGCAUUAUAUGACUGUGGGUUUCGUGCAUAAAUUCAUCUACUCUCUAUGACCUUUCUAUGUACUGUUAUAACGGAUUCAUGGGAGGGAAGGGUUGAGAAUCUAAUUAAAGGGUGGCUGUUGGCCUGUUAUGGCAUACUUACUGCGCAACCAAUAGAGCACAUACUUCCUACUGUCUUGCGCUCCUCUCUUUUGGCAGAAUCACUCACAUUGCAUCUGAAUCAGCAUACCCUCAGUCUGAGUAACGCUGCUGUUUCUGUAAUGACGUGAGAGUCAAAGAAGGCAGUGGAACUCAUGGACAGACAGACAAGCAAUUGGAAUUCAGUGAAAUAACAGGAAUUGAGAAAAUGAGAGUUCAGUUCUGCUCAAAAUCUGAUCCCUCGGCAAUCUGCUGGCAGCUGUGCAGUUCCUCGACUCUGCAACACACGGUGGUAAUCUCUCUCUCUCUCUCUCGCGCGCGCGUGGGAGGAAGGUAUCAAGUCAGAUGAACUUACAUGGUCGCAAAAAGUAUCAAUAGACAUAAAUAUUAAGUUGUAUAGCAUCAUCCCUCAGUUACGCAUAUAGAUGUUUCUGAAUAGGUCUUGUUGAAUAUGAGAAAAUAUUGUCCUCCAAAGAACUGCAUCAUUCAUUUGUGUCGUUCAUCUAAUAUAUGAAAAUGAA